CCAUCACCACCCCAUCACCCUGUAUAUAAGUCUCCACCACCACCUAAGAAGCCCUACCACCCUUCACCAACCCCAUAUCAUCCUGUACCCGUUUAUAAAUCUCCACCCCCACCAACUCCAGUUUACAAGUCGCCACCACCACCCAAGAAGCCACAAUAUCCUCCACACAUCCCGGUUUAUAAGUCGCCACCACCACCAACUCCCGUUUACAAGUCACCACCACCACCCAAGAAGCCACACUACCCUCCACACAUCCCUGUUUAUAAGUCACCACCACCGCCCAAGAAGCCAUACUAUCCUCCACAUACUCCAGUUUACAAGUCGCCACCACCACCAACUCCGGUUUACAAGUCACCACCGCCACCCAAGAAACCAUACUAUCCUCCACACAUCCCUGUUUACAAAUCUCCACCACCACCUACUCCAGUUUACAAGUCGCCACCACCACCCAAGAAGCCAUACUACCCUCCACACACCCCGGUUUAUAAGUCUCCACCACCACCAACUCCUGUUUACAAGUCACCACCACCACCCAAGAAGCCAUACUAUCCUCCACACACACCAGUUUACAAGUCGCCACCACCACCUACUCCCGUUUACAAGUCACCACCACCACCAACACCCGUUUACAAGUCACCACCACCACCUAAGAAGCCACACCAUCCUUCACCAACCCCAUAUCAUCCUGCACCAGUUUACAAGUCCCCACCACCACCUAAGAAGCCAGACCACCCUUCACCAACACCGUAUCAUCCUGCACCAGUUUACAAAUCCCCACCGCCACCUACUCCAGUUUACAAGUCACCACCACCUUCAGUGAAGCCAUACCAUCCUUCACCAACACCAUAUCAUCCUGCACCAGUUUAUAAGCCUCCACCACCACCAACUCCUGUCUACAAGUCACCUCCACCACCAACUCCAGUCUACAAGUCUCUACCACCGCACCACCCCUAUCUUUACACUUCUCCUCCUCCUCCCUAC
RNAcentral lists this long non-coding RNA (981 nucleotides) under Nicotiana benthamiana. RNAcentral describes it as "long non-coding RNA (NBEN_LNC005959)". Lineage: Eukaryota; Viridiplantae; Streptophyta; Magnoliopsida; Solanales; Solanaceae. The record is from RNAcentral.